This 840-nucleotide ribosomal RNA is filed under the name Triticum aestivum (bread wheat). Its description in RNAcentral is "partial small subunit ribosomal RNA". The record is from RNAcentral. Lineage: Eukaryota; Viridiplantae; Streptophyta; Magnoliopsida; Poales; Poaceae.
AUGGACGACGAGCUGCUCUCCCCGUGCUCCUCCUUCUUCCCGGUCUCGCCGCCGUCCGGGCAGUUCGAGCACCACCACCACCAGUUCAUCGAGUUCACCUCCUGCGAGGUCCCCGAGCAAUGGCUGCUCGGCGACGUCGUCGUCCCGGCCAAGAGCGAGGACGCGGGGGACCUGUGGCCCGCGGGGUCCCUGCUGUCCCCGGACUCCGAGCUCUCGGAGCUGCCGGCGGUGAGCCUCCCUGCCUCCACGGAGUCGACGCCGCGGCCGGCGGCCAAGCGGCGUGGGAGGAAGCCCGGGCCACGCCCCGAGGGCCCCACUGUCAGCCACGUGGAGGCCGAGCGGCAGCGCCGCGACAAACUGAACCGCCGCUUCUGCGACCUCCGCGCUGCCGUCCCCACCGUGUCCCGCAUGGACAAGGCCUCCCUCCUCGCCGACGCCGCCGCAUACAUUGCCGAGCUGCGCGCCCGUGUGGCCCGGCUCGAGGACGAGAGCAAGCAGGCGGCCGCCGCGAGGUGGGACACUAACUCGGCGUCCCGCAGCGGUGGCGGCGCCUCCUUGCAGCACUUUCUAGCCGGCGACGAGACGGUGGAGGUGCGGAUGGUGGGGCGAGACGCCGCCGCAGUGCGCGUGACCACGGCCGCGGGGUCCGCUCCGUACGCGCCGGCGAGGCUGAUGAGCGCGCUCCGCUCGCUUGAGCUGCAGGUGCAGCACGCGUGCGUGAGCCGCGUGCAGGGCGCGACGGUGCAGGACGUCGUGGUGGACGUGCCCACCGCGCUGCAGCAUGAUGACGGCGCCGCCCUCCGCUCCGCGCUGCUCCAGCGGCUACGCGACAGCGCCUAG